ACACUUACUUGGCAGAAAGAAUGUCAUCGUCAAGAAGAUGGUUCUCCCAGUACUAGUCUUCUCCCUCGCACUCCAGACUUGCUGGCCCCUGCGAUUUCCCCAGUGGGAAACUCUACUGUGGAACUUGUCCCAGUGCGAGACUGCACUCAUGUUCUCCCC
Small nuclear RNA from Homo sapiens (human), 159 nucleotides. Lineage: Eukaryota; Metazoa; Chordata; Mammalia; Primates; Hominidae. The record is from Ensembl.